Molecule: long non-coding RNA, 255 nt
Filed under: Arabidopsis lyrata
Lineage: Eukaryota; Viridiplantae; Streptophyta; Magnoliopsida; Brassicales; Brassicaceae
Description: long non-coding RNA (ALYR_LNC003116)
Source: RNAcentral
UUGUUUUGUUCUCUUUUGUCUUAACUAUUUUAUUUUGUACAAAUUCUAUUUAUCAGAGCUUUCAAGCCAGAUCAUGUCGUGAAGUUUAAAGAUAAUUAUGAUAUUGAUUUUCAUGAAUUCAUCGUGGAGCAACAUACUGUUGAUUUUGUCACGAGUCACUACCUCAUUCACGAUAUCACCAAUGAGGACAAUAAUUUCUAAAGCUGCUCAAUAUCCUUAACAAAUCCCAAAUUAAUAGUCUUUUGCAUAACAAAA